Apis dorsata (giant honeybee) is the source of this 1201-nucleotide long non-coding RNA. RefSeq lists it as uncharacterized. The transcript has 4 exons. The record is from RefSeq and is a predicted model, not a curated record. Lineage: Eukaryota; Metazoa; Arthropoda; Insecta; Hymenoptera; Apidae.
UUAUUGGAUUGCGUUAUCAAAGAUGAAUCGUAUUCUAAUAAAUGAUUCUUAAUGCAAUAGAGUCGAAUAUUUUAGCAAAUAGCUCGUUAUCCAACGGAUAUAAGUCGCAGUGUAACAGACAGGUUAGAUAUACGAUAGAAGAAAAUCGUAUUUUCGCGAAUAAAGUUGAACAGGGUCAUAUUUUAACAAAUAGGUUGUUAUCUAGUGAAGACCGGUUACGUUCUGAUGAAUAAGUCGCUGGUGAAUCGAAACAAGCUAUCUUCGGGGAAAAUAGACGGUCUUUUAACAGGAACAAGUCAGUCCACGGAACAAUUCUCUAUUCGCACGAAAUUUAGUUGCGAAAACAAAAUUGACCAACAUCGAGGAAUCACUGCUAAGGAAGAGCGGGGAAUAGAAGUUGAGCAUGCACGUGAAUAGGUCGACUAAUUGCGAUCUCGAGAAACUGAUUGUUAGAGAUAUGACAGAAUAUUUGGAUGAAGGAUAUGUGAUUCUAUUUCGUAUUAUAAAUCAUCAUAAAUAUACAUGAUUGAAUCCCAGAUAUUUUAAUUAACAAAACAAUGACCAAUUAUACCUCCAUACCUGAAUUUUGGAAAUAUUCCAUGUUAAUUUAAUGAUCUGAUGAACUAUAACAGGAGCUUUGGUUCAUUUUUAAAUCAUCGAAUAUUCGUGAGCCACGAUAGAAAGACUCUCCUCCUCCGCAUUAUGAUUAUACACCGUGGAGUUAAGUUGAUCGCGAGUUGACAUGUUACGCAUGAAUGACCAUCGAAAUCAUCGCGCUUGGGCACAAUUACGAUGCCAGAUAACAGAACUGUCGGUCAAUCAGAAUAGCCCAUUAAUUGUCGAUGCGCAAAAACGGAAAUCGGAUAAUUGGAUUUCUGCCGCGUAUCGGUUCGGCUAUACAUAUAUCAAUGCUCGAAUUAUGAGACGAUUAAUAAUCAUUCAACUAUCAUCAAUCAUCUUACCAUCUUAUGAAGGUGUUUGUUGAUUGUCAAUUGAAAAUUUUAGAACAGAGACAGGCCCGUUUUAUUUGAAAUGAAAUAAUGAUAUGAUUAUUUUAUAUAACGUAAGAAAAAUAAUUAUAUUUUGUGUGUCAGAUGAUGAUUUUUUUCUGUAUUAUCUUGUUAUUUGGUUCUUUAAUAUGUUAUAAUGUUUAUAGUAAUAUCAUGAUUAUGUGAAAACAUAAUCUAUUCCAAUAUUUCAA